This 433-nucleotide ribosomal RNA is filed under the name uncultured bacterium. RNAcentral describes it as "partial 16S ribosomal RNA". It matches the Rfam family "Bacterial small subunit ribosomal RNA", at positions 29 to 507 of the family's 1533-position model. The record is from RNAcentral.
AACGAACGCUGGCGGCAUGCCUAACACAUGCAAGUCGAGCGGGCACUUCGGUGUCAGCGGCAGACGGGUGAGUAACACGUGGGAACGUACCCUUCGGUUCGGAAUAACGCUGGGAAACUAGCGCUAAUACCGGAUACGCCCUAUUGGGGAAAGGUUUCCUGCCGAAGGAUGUGCCCGCGUCUGAUUAGGUAGUUGGUGGGGUAAUUGCCUACCAAGGCGACGAUCAGUAGCUGGUCUGAGAGGAUGAUCAGCCACACUUGGACUGAGACACGGCCCAGACUCCUACGGGAGGCAGCAGUGGGGAAUAUUGGAAAAUGGGCGCAAGCAUGAUACAGCCAUGCCGCGUGAGUGAUGAAGGCCUUAGGGUUGUAAAGCUCUUUUGACCGGGACGAUAAUGACGGUACCGGAAGAAUAAGCCCCGGCUAACUUCGUG